UAGGGAAUCUUCCGCAAUGGACGAAAGUCUGACGGAGCAACGCCGCGUGAGUGAAGAAGGAUUUCGGUUCGUAAAACUCUGUUGUUAGGGAAGAAAAAAUGUAUAGUAACUAUAUACAAAAGAGACGGUACCUAACCAGAAAGCCACGGCUAACUACGUGCCAGCAGCCGCGGUAAUACGUAGGUGGCGAGCGUUGUCCGGAAUUAUUGGGCGUAAAGCGCGCGCAGGUGGUUUAGAAAGUCUGAUGUGAAAGCCCACGGCUCAACCGUGGAGGGUCAUUGGAAACUAAUAAACUUGAGUGCAGGAGAGAAAAGUGGAAUUCCUAGUGUAGCGAUGAAAUGCGUAGAGAUUAGGAGGAACACCGGUGGCGAAAGCGGCUUUUUGGCCUGCAACUGACACUGAGGCGCGAAAGCGUGGGGAGCAAACAGG
RNAcentral lists this ribosomal RNA (429 nucleotides) under Verrucomicrobiota bacterium. Its description in RNAcentral is "Verrucomicrobia bacterium partial 16S ribosomal RNA". It matches the Rfam family "Bacterial small subunit ribosomal RNA", at positions 355 to 776 of the family's 1533-position model. The record is from RNAcentral. Lineage: Bacteria; Pseudomonadati; Verrucomicrobiota.